AUUUAAUUGGAACCCUCUACCAUUUUUAUUAAACAUAAACACACGCAAGUUGCUAAAAGCCUCUGAGAGACUCCUUAAGACCCCUAAUUUAAGACUUGUAGAGAAGUCUUCCAAGAUUAUACAGUGAAUGGAUUUUUCAUUUCACCAAGGGCUUGGUUUUUUUUGGUGUUUUUUUUCCCCCCAUUUAAAUGUAGUUUGAAGUGCUGCCUGGGAACAUACUGUAAUAAUUUAAAUCAUUACGCAUCUUCUGUCAGAAGCAGAGAUGUUCUGUCUGUUGCGGUCAUUAACCUGGGUGCAGAUGAUUGAAGUGAUGGGCUGUAGUCUGACAGGUCACCACUCUUGGGCAGACACUAACAUGCAGCUCUUCAAAAGGCAUUUCAUGAUCAAUCACCACAACACUCCCUGCAAAAAAAAGCCAUUUAAGUCUCUCAGUUAAGAUGCUGAAAAUCUUUAAGAGCCUCCUGCUUUUUGUCAACAGGACUCUGCAUAUUUAAAAGAUGCAUUCAAGUUUUUUCUUGUUUAAAUCUGUUGAAGCCGAUUUAGCUUUGCUGCUGCACACUGACUGAGGCUCUGUCCUCCCCUGCCUUGAGCUGGGGCUGAUUUAUGAACCAUUUACUGAAGAGUGCUCUCAAUUAUGCAUCACCACUUUUAGGGCUAUCCUGGGUUGUGGCUUGAGCCAGCUGCAGUCAGACACGCUUGGCAUCCACCUUCCCUUCUUCACCAGAUUUCGGAAUUCAGCUGACAAGCGCAGCUUCAUUACAGCUGGUGCGGGAGCAGGAAUAGCUUCAGUAUUUCGUGCCCCCAUUGGCGGGCUCUUGUUCACGCUGGAGGAGGUGUCUUCGUUCUGGGACAUCAGGCUGGCCUGGCAAACCUUCUUUUGCUGCUUGACAGCUACCUUCACCACGGAUUUGCUGUCCUCGUCACUCUAUGGCUUUGUUUACAGAGGUCACUUCGGAUUUUUUGAAGCAGAGAAAAGAAUUCUGUUUUGGGUAUGUACUGCGUGGAUGUGGAAGGAAUGAAAUGUUGGGUUUUAGGUUUGUUUCUUUCAACAUUAUUCAUGAGGGACUAGCAGGGAAUUGGGACCAAAAGGAAGUAGGAUAAUGUGUGUGUGAUUAUCAGAUCAGUGGACACGGGAGCUUUAUGCCUGGUAAUCACUUGGAUGCAAGACAGCUGUUUUGCAGUACCUACUUAAAUAGAAAAGCGCAUUUUACAUUGUAGCACAAGAUGUUCAAUGGCUUCUUCUGGGGCUGGCUUGAGCCCUCCUUUGUUGCUGUAGACAUUGCCGUACUGCGGCCCUGUUCUUUUGUGCUUAC
Molecule: long non-coding RNA, 1313 nt
Filed under: Coturnix japonica (Japanese quail)
Lineage: Eukaryota; Metazoa; Chordata; Aves; Galliformes; Phasianidae
Description: lncRNA (ENSCJPG00005010361.1)
Source: RNAcentral